CCCUUAGAUGUUCUGGGCUGCACACGUGCUACACUGGCAGGUUCAGCGAGCUUCAUGCCCUGAUCUGAAAGGAAUGGGAAAUCUUUUCAAAACCUGCCGUGCUUGGGAUAGAUGUUUGCAAUUAUUCAUCUUCAACGGGGAUUGCCUUGUAAGCGCACGUCAUCAGCGUGCAUUGAAUACGACCCUGUAUUCUGUACACACCGCCCGUCGCUCCUACCGAUUGAAGUUUUCGGUGAGUUGACAGGAGGAUUUUUUUUGAAACUGGUUCGCCAGUGGAUUUUAGAUCCAAAUGCCAACGAAUCGAUGGCUUUAGAGGAAGGAGAAGUCGUAACA
RNAcentral lists this ribosomal RNA (333 nucleotides) under uncultured eukaryote. RNAcentral's name for it is "partial 18S ribosomal RNA". It matches the Rfam family "Eukaryotic small subunit ribosomal RNA", at positions 1470 to 1796 of the family's 1831-position model. The record is from RNAcentral.